CCCGGGUGCAGGGAGCACAGGUGCAGGGAGCCCGGGUGCAGGGAGCCCGGGUGCAGGGAGCCCGGGUGCGGGGAAGACGCGUGGAGACGCAGGGAGGGGCGCUAUCUGCUGGCCGGAGAGAGGAAAGGGCGCCGGGGACACCAUGACGUCAGACCCCGGAGUCCCGACAGGGGAAGAGGCAUUCCCGCUCAAGCCCCGGUCCCGGGCAGUUCAGGCGGCCCGGCUAGAGGCUGGAGAUAAAGCCCCGCUCGCCGGCGGCCCAGCUCAGGGCCGGGCCUCUGCGCUCACUCCUGACGGGGGCAGGGGGAGCCGGGGAGCGCUUUGUCCGCCAAAGGGACCCGACUUCCCGGAAACGGGUCCGCCGAGGCCCGGCCCACGGCAGCAGGGCUGCCCGAGAGGGUGCAGGGCAGCAGGAAGCGCACGUGCCCAGCGCCCGACCUGUCCCUGCGCGCCCGCAGCCCCGGAGAUGCACCUGCACCGCCAACGCCGGGCGGCGGGGAGGGGGCCGCGGGGAGGCGCGGCGACGCCACGGGACGCACCUGCGGGACCGUCUGACCCCGCCCCCCCUACGCUGGUGACGUCAGGCCGAGCCGCCUGCAAACCCAAGAGCCCGGCCCCGCCCCCGAGCACCGCGCCCCUCUGUGGCCUAACCCACCCGAAGGUGAACUCGCGGGGACUCGCCAACCGGCCGCUUCUACGGUAACUACCCGGAAGGGGCUGGACUCAAUCUCUCCACCCGUCAGCCGAGCGCCCCCCCGCGUCGGGAUCUCCAGUUCUCGCGAGAACUUUUGGGCUGUCCCUGUGUGCGCAUGCGUCCGACUCGGAAGCCUCGGGAGCUGCCCCGCUGCCAGGGGCGAGGGAAAAAGGCGAAGGGGGAGGAGCUUGGGCGGGACCUGCGCGCUCUCUCCCUCCCAGCCCCGCCCCUCGCGGCGUGUCCCGGAAGGGCGUCAUCCGCCGUAUAAGAGCGCGUGCGCAGGAGCGUGCGGCCUUUCCCCGCUGGGCAGCGCUGCGAUUGGGUCCGUGAGCGGUCGUGAUUCGUUCGCGGCCGUGUUCUGUGCGCUAAAGCGAUGAUUGGGACGGAGCCCCCGGGCCUCGCCAACAUGCAGCCGACGCGAGGGCCUUGCGGCGGCAGGUCGAGGCCGGCAGCGGCAGCCCGCGGGCUGGGAGGCCCGGGCGGACUCUGGGCGCCUUAGGCCGCGCGGCCGCCACGUGCUGCUCUAGGUACCGAGGCCCAGGCGGCGCGCAUGCGCCCUGCGCCCGGGCGAGUCCCGGACGGUCGGGUCCACGCGGCGCCCAGUGGCCGAGCGGGACGCCUGCGCCGGCGGGUGAGUAGCGUCUCCGGGAGCCGCCUGCAUGCCCAGGACAACGGGAUUCGAGUCAUCAGCUCCAGGAUGGCUGGGAAAUGAUGUGAUGGGAACAAAACGAUGUUCUGGGAACUACAGGAAGUAUUUUGCGUUCUGCCUGGAGGUUGGCAGAUGAGUGCGUGUUUGUAAAGAUUAAAUAAAGUCCUGGUUCGUCUGGC
Molecule: long non-coding RNA, 1522 nt
Organism: Myotis daubentonii (Daubenton's bat)
Lineage: Eukaryota; Metazoa; Chordata; Mammalia; Chiroptera; Vespertilionidae
Source: RefSeq, a predicted model, not a curated record